UUUGCCUUUUGUGUUGCCCGUUCAUUUUUGGUUACUGAUGAAUGUGGUGUCAAAAAAGGCGCAAAUGAAACUCUUGGCAGCUCUGUUUCACCCUAGGUUUCCGUUCCUUUGGUGCUUUUGCUGCGAGGAACAUAU
Molecule: small nucleolar RNA, 135 nt
Filed under: Ornithorhynchus anatinus (platypus)
Lineage: Eukaryota; Metazoa; Chordata; Mammalia; Monotremata; Ornithorhynchidae
Description: H/ACA-box snoRNA bOa1886i
Rfam family: Small nucleolar RNA SNORA13
About the family: ACA13 is a member of the H/ACA class of snoRNA that guide the sites of modification of uridines to pseudouridines.
Source: RNAcentral